AAACUAACAAGGAUUCCCCUAGUAACGGCGAGUGAAGCGGGAAGAGCUCAAAUUUGAAAUCUGGCGGCAUCCUGUCGUCCGAGUUGUAAUCUAUAGAAGUGUUUUCCGCGUCGGACCAUGUACAAGUCCCUUGGAACAGGGCGUCAUAGAGGGUGAGAAUCCCGUCCUUGACAUGAUCUCCGGUGCUAUGUGAUACACUUUCAACGAGUCGAGUUGUUUGGGAAUGCAGCUCAAAAUGGGUGGUGAAUUCCAUCUAAAGCUAAAUAUUGGCGCGAGAGACCGAUAGCAACAAGUACCGUGAGGGAAAGAUGAAAAGCACUUUGGAAAGAGAGUUAAACAGUACGUGAAAUUGUUGAAAGGGAAACGAUUGAAGUCAGUCAUGCUCUUUGGGUUAAGCCUUUCGGGGUGUAUUCCAUUGAGUGGGGUCAACAUCAGUUUUGACCGCUGGAAAAAGGCACGAGGAAGGUAGCACUCUCGGGUGAACUUAUAGCCUCGCGUCAUAUACAGUGGUUGGGACUGAGGAACGCAGCAUGCCUUAUGGCCGGGAUUCGUCCACGUACAUGCUUAGGAUGUUGACAUAAUG
This 583-nucleotide ribosomal RNA is filed under the name Naganishia antarctica. Its description in RNAcentral is "eukaryotic LSU rRNA". It matches the Rfam family "Eukaryotic large subunit ribosomal RNA", at positions 62 to 636 of the family's 3401-position model. Lineage: Eukaryota; Fungi; Basidiomycota; Tremellomycetes; Filobasidiales; Filobasidiaceae. The record is from RNAcentral.